CAUACGACCUAUCACUCACAGACCAAUGGACCACCUGGGAUUGGACUGAGACCUCUGAAUUCACCAAAUACAGUUUCUGGUAUUGGAUCAUAUGACCAGCUUAUCCAGCAGUAUCAGCAACACCAGAACCAGUCCCAAUUUCGAUUGCAACAAAUAUCAGCUGUCAAUCAACCAUUUAGGGAUCAGGGCAUGAAAUCCAUGCAAGCAGCGCAAUCUGCUCCAGAUCCAUUUGGGUUACUUGGCUUGUUAAGUGUUAUACGGAUGAGUGACCCUGAUCUGACUUCCCUGGCUCUUGGAAUUGAUUUAACAACUCUCGGA
RNAcentral lists this unclassified non-coding RNA (318 nucleotides) under Hevea brasiliensis (rubber tree). Lineage: Eukaryota; Viridiplantae; Streptophyta; Magnoliopsida; Malpighiales; Euphorbiaceae. The record is from RNAcentral.